RNAcentral lists this long non-coding RNA (1169 nucleotides) under Sorghum bicolor (sorghum). RNAcentral describes it as "long non-coding RNA (SBIC_LNC001007)". Lineage: Eukaryota; Viridiplantae; Streptophyta; Magnoliopsida; Poales; Poaceae. The record is from RNAcentral.
AAGUAGCUAAAGCUACAACAGUGACUUAGUAAAUGUGAGCUCUAUCUCAGAAAAUAUAUUCUUCUCAUGUUUACCUCUUAGUAAAUAAAUUUGAACUGAUCUGACUCAGUAUAGAUAAAGAUCUUUGGUUCGAUCUAUGUGAUUAUAUAGUUGCAACUGUAGUAGUUACAAGUUUUAGAUAUUUAUUUGACUGACACAGUGUAGGCAUUAAGUAAACUGCUGUAUUUUUAAUAAAAAAUAAUAAUGUUAUCUCAUUUUGAUAUAAUCAGAGAACGCACACCUGCUCUUGCUUAAUCCAGUUACAUCUAUUUUAGUACUCAAUACUCGUUCACAAAUUAGCAGGUGUUGUGUAUUAGUCUGUUCGCCUAACAAAUCCAACUACACAUCCCUGUUCAAAGCAGCAGCAGUAACUUCUCCAGCAAGUGGAAGCACUAUAGCAGGAAGCAACACGUCAAAGUCAAGCACCAGCUCAGGCAAAGGCAGGGGCUAGCUGGACCAUUAUUCUGUGAAGUUUGAACUCUAAACCAAGCAUGACUUAUGGUCAGUAGAAGUACUCAUUCAGAGUUCAAAAUAAACUUCAAUUCAUUCUCAAAUUAGCUACUUGUAUUCAGCCACUAAUUAAUCUAUUGCUCAUUACAGUUAGUUAUCAAUUUUGAUAUUUUCUUGCCAGAUUAUUUUUCUGUCUAUUGGUAGCAGCAAUAUCGUUAGUUUUUAUAUUGUUUCAAAUACAUGUUGUCUGAUAUUUCCUCCUCAGAUUCAUGCAACAAUUAACAACUAACUACGAUCUCAAGAGAAGUGAAGAAGCUGAGGAACGGCUGGCGAGGACACAGAAAGAGAUGGAGGAGAUGAAGAAGCUGACAGAGAUGAACAGGAAGGCAAUGGAGGAGAACAAUACGCUGCUCAAGCGUAUCUUGUCCAUCAACAAUGCUUCUUCGACGUGCGAGCUGCUCAGCUGCUGGUAGUAGGACUAACUAGGAACUGUAGCUGCUGGUGCUUGACAUCCUGCUAAUUUUGAUUUUGCAAUGACUUGUGUUGUGGUGGUUUGCAAAUGUUCUAUUUAAACCAAGUGUGUGGUGAACUAAGUUUAUGCACUUAUGUUGCUAGUGAACCGAGUGUAGCAGCGACAAUUAAGUUAUGAGCAAUGGAUCUUUAGUUUUAUGGAUGUUUUC